CCUUCGAUAGCUCAAUCGGUAGAGCGGGGGACUGUAGAUUUAUAAUUGUGAUCCCUAGGUCGCUGGUUCGAAUCCGGCUCGAAGUA
This is a non-coding RNA of Nematostella vectensis (starlet sea anemone), 86 nucleotides long. The record is from Rfam. Lineage: Eukaryota; Metazoa; Cnidaria; Anthozoa; Actiniaria; Edwardsiidae.